CCUACGGGGGGCAGCAGUGAGGAAUAUUGGUCAAUGGGAGAGAUCCUGAACCAGCCAAGCCGCGUGAGGGAAGACGGCCCUAUGGGUGGUAAACCUCUUUUGUCGGAGAACAAAACCCGGGACGAGUCCCGGACUGCGUGUAUCCGAAGAAAAAGCAUCGGCUAACUCCGUGCCAGCAGCCGCGGUAAUACGGAGGAUGCGAGCGUUAUCCGGAUUUCUUGGGUUAAAAGGGUGCGUAGGUGGUCUGUUAAGUCAGCGGUAAAAUUGCGGGGCUCAACCCCGGCGGGCCGUUGAAACUGGCAGGCUUGAGUUGGCGAGAAGUACGCGGAAUGCGCGGUGUAGCGGUGAAAUGCAUAGAUAUCGCGCAGAACUCCGAUUGCGAAGGCAGCGUACCGGCGCCCGACUGACGCUGAGGCACGAAAGCGUGGGGAUCGAACAGGAUUAGAUACCCGAGUAGUC
This 459-nucleotide ribosomal RNA is filed under the name uncultured bacterium. Its description in RNAcentral is "partial 16S ribosomal RNA". It matches the Rfam family "Bacterial small subunit ribosomal RNA", at positions 338 to 795 of the family's 1533-position model. The record is from RNAcentral.